AAUCAACGCUGGCGGCGUGCCUAACACAUGCAAGUCGCACGAGAAAGGGACUUCGGUCCUGAGUACAGUGGCGCACGGGUGAGUAACACGUGAAUCAUCUACCUUCGAGUGGGGAAUAACUGAGAGAAAUCUUAGCUAAUACCGCAUAAUACCUACGGGUCAAAGCAGCAAUGCGCUUGAAGAGGAGUUCGCGGCAGAUUAGCUAGUUGGCGGGGUAACGCCCACAAGGCGACGAUCUGUAGCUGGUCUGAGAGGACGGCCAGCCACACUGGCACUGACACACGGGCCAGACUCCUACGGGAGGCAGCAGUGGGGAAUUUUGGGCAAUGGGCGAAAGCCUGACCCAGCAACGCCGCGUGAGGGAGGAAAUCCUUCGGGAUGUAAACCUCACAAGCAAGGGAAGAGCGCAUGAAGGAGAAUACCCUUCAUGCCCGACGUACCUUGCGUAAGCCACGGCUAACUACGUGCCAG
This 471-nucleotide ribosomal RNA is filed under the name uncultured bacterium. RNAcentral describes it as "bacterial SSU rRNA". It matches the Rfam family "Bacterial small subunit ribosomal RNA", at positions 32 to 511 of the family's 1533-position model. The record is from RNAcentral.